UACGUAGGGGGCAAGCGUUAUCCGGAAUCACUGGGCGUAAAGGGUGCGUAGGCGGCUGAUCAAGCCAGGGGUGAAAGGCAAUAGCUUAACUAUUGUAAGCCUUUGGAACUGGUCAGCUUGAGUGCAGGAGAGGAAAGCGGAAUUCCUAGUGUAGCGGUGAAAUGCGUAGAUAUUAGGAGGAACACCCGUGGCGAAGGCGGCUUUCUGGACUGUAACUGACGCUGAGGCACGAAAGCGUGGGGAGCAAACA
RNAcentral lists this ribosomal RNA (250 nucleotides) under uncultured bacterium. RNAcentral's name for it is "partial 16S ribosomal RNA". It matches the Rfam family "Bacterial small subunit ribosomal RNA", at positions 524 to 774 of the family's 1533-position model. RNAcentral also lists the same sequence under 1 other name. The record is from RNAcentral.